Molecule: ribosomal RNA, 301 nt
Filed under: uncultured bacterium
Lineage: Bacteria
Description: partial 16S ribosomal RNA
Rfam family: Bacterial small subunit ribosomal RNA
Source: RNAcentral
CAGCCGCCGCGGUAAUACGUAGGGUGCGAGCGUUAAUCGGAAUUACUGGGCGUAAAGCGUGCGCAGGCGGUUAUGUAAGACAGUUGUGAAAUCCCCGGGCUCAACCUGGGAACUGCAUCUGUGACUGCAUAGCUAGAGUACGGUAGAGGGGGAUGGAAUUCCGCGUGUAGCAGUGAAAUGCGUGGAUAUGCGGAGGAACACCGAUGGCGAAGGCAAUCCCCUGGACCUGUACUGACGCUAAUGCACGAAAGCGUGGGGAGCAAACAGGAUUAGAUACCCCGGUAGUCCCUGUCUCUUAUAA